AAGUCGUAACAAGGUUUCCGUAGGUGAACCUGCGGAAGGAUCAUUACAAAAGCACUGCUUUUGCGUCUGUGAACGCUGAUGGGGUGCAUUCAUGCUUCCAUCGGCAUUUUACAUCAAUGAUUUAUUAAUUAAAAACAUAAAAGAUAAAACUUUUGGCAAUGGAUCCCUUAGCUCCU
RNAcentral lists this unclassified non-coding RNA (176 nucleotides) under fungal sp. RNAcentral describes it as "partial internal transcribed spacer region". The stretch from base 1 to 46 matches the Rfam family "Eukaryotic small subunit ribosomal RNA", at positions 1786 to 1831 of the family's 1831-position model. The record is from RNAcentral. Lineage: Eukaryota; Fungi.